CAGCAGCCGCGGUAAUACGUAGGGUGCGAGCGUUAAUCGGAAUUACUGGGCGUAAAGCGUGCGCAGGCGGUUCGUUAAGACAGAUGUGAAAUCCCCGGGCUUAACCUGGGAACUGCAUUUGUGACUGGCGAGCUAGAGUAUGGCAGAGGGGGGUAGAAUUCCACGUGUAGCAGUGAAAUGCGUAGAGAUGUGGAGGAAUACCGAUGGCGAAGGCAGCCCCCUGGGCCAAUACUGACGCUCAUGCACGAAAGCGUGGGGAGCAAACAGGAUUAGAUACCCCUGUAGUCCCUGUCUCUUAUAA
This 301-nucleotide ribosomal RNA is filed under the name uncultured bacterium. RNAcentral describes it as "partial 16S ribosomal RNA". It matches the Rfam family "Bacterial small subunit ribosomal RNA", at positions 509 to 809 of the family's 1533-position model. The record is from RNAcentral.